GUCGCUUCUCGGCCUUAUGGCUAAGAUCAAGUGUACUAUCUGUUCUUAUCAGUGGUAAAAGAGUGUUAAAAGAGAACGCCUGUUCUUAUUAGAACAGGAAAAGGGGCUAUUUGUUCUUGUUAGAACAGUCCUGGCGGUCCAUUAAGGACAAGAGCUGCAGAUUGCGGUGUAAAAUCGUAGCAAUGGCAGCUGCAAUUG
Molecule: small nuclear RNA, 198 nt
Organism: Amblyraja radiata (thorny skate)
Lineage: Eukaryota; Metazoa; Chordata; Chondrichthyes; Rajiformes; Rajidae
Product: U2 spliceosomal RNA
Exons: 1
Source: RefSeq, a predicted model, not a curated record